This 129-nucleotide small RNA is filed under the name Klebsiella pneumoniae. Its description in RNAcentral is "RtT sRNA". It matches the Rfam family "RtT RNA". Rfam says of the family: This family represents a bacterial cis-regulatory element known as RtT RNA. The exact function of RtT is unknown although it is thought that it may be involved in changing the cellular response in relation to amino acid starvation. The record is from RNAcentral. Lineage: Bacteria; Pseudomonadati; Pseudomonadota; Gammaproteobacteria; Enterobacterales; Enterobacteriaceae.
UAUUCUGCCCCACGGGGAAGGAUGAGAAGCUUCGACUAAGGUUCGACUCGAGCGAAGCGAGAACGUUACCGCAGGCAACGGCCCGAAGGGCGAGGAGCGAUAGCGACGAGUUAUCCUUCCCCACCACCA